AUGCCCUCCGGGAAGCACAAUGCCGAUGGUGGGGCGUGCCCGGCCGCACGCUGGAGGCCGUCCUCGAGUACAUCGAGGGCGGCAACACGCCGAGGCUGGAGUACCCCGCUCCCCCCACCUUCUCCCGCCGGUGUGGGAGCUCCUGGACGCCAAGACGCAUGGACCCGACCUCCUCCUCCUCGUCUGGCCGCUCGUCCAGUUCUCCCUCCCUCCUCCCUGUCAAGCUGGAGCCCCAGGACGCGUCGAUCAGCCGGCGCACCUGCAGCUGCGGCGUCCGCAUCACCGAGUCCUCCCCCACCUCUGCCCGGCUCGUUAGGCCGAAGGUGGAGUUCGGCCUCCCCGCGGAGUACGAGGCCAUAG
This 360-nucleotide ribosomal RNA is filed under the name Triticum aestivum (bread wheat). RNAcentral's name for it is "partial small subunit ribosomal RNA". Lineage: Eukaryota; Viridiplantae; Streptophyta; Magnoliopsida; Poales; Poaceae. The record is from RNAcentral.